Non-coding RNA from Paramisgurnus dabryanus, 3850 nucleotides. Lineage: Eukaryota; Metazoa; Chordata; Actinopteri; Cypriniformes; Cobitidae. The record is from RefSeq and is a predicted model, not a curated record.
CACAAGGUGACGAUCUCUUGGGCGGAACCAAAAGUCGGGAAACUUUGGUUCCGCCCGGAUGUUUCCGCCCAGACCGAAGAACGGAAACACCGGACAUCCGGCAGAUUCGCGGAGGCUGUAAUCAGCCGAUUGGGCACAGCUGUGCCUAGUUGAAGAGAUCGCUGGGCAAUUGGAUGACUGAAGUACAGAGAGGAGUAUAUAAAGCACAGUUAGAUCACAGUUCGGGAGUUCGGGCACGAGAGGGGGAUUGACACGGGGAGAGCUCCUCUGCUUAGGGCAGGAGAGGUAACUACGUACCUUUUGAAGAGCCCGCAGGCUCUGUUGAUCCGGGCUGCGCUUGAAGCGCGCGGAAAGAAGACAGGAGCUGCCUGGGGUGAAAGAAAGGCGAUACGUGAGUGGAGAAAAGGAGCACCCCGAAGAGAGAGCAUUGUGCUGUCAAGCCUGCGCUUAGUGUGUGCUGGGAAACGGAGCUGUGCUCAUUUUUGGACGUGGUGGCUAUCUGUAUUUCUCUCUCUCUCUCUCGUUUCAGUCUUUAUUGUGGACCUGCUGGAGUGAACAGGAAAGCCCUAUGGGUAAGAAGGAACUUUGUUCUAACCAAUACUGAAGGAGUAAAGCAGGAAGAGAUAUUGACCGUCUGGUACAACGUAAAUAAAGGCUAUCCGCCGUGAGUAUACCCUUUCUGUGUGGAGUAACUGGCAAAAAUUAACUUGUGUAGCCAUUGGAAACCUCCAGGAAAAGGAGGGCGGCCCUACCCCUACAAGAGUGUGGUGGGCGAGCCGUUAGAAGUACACAUUCAAACAGCCGCCGCAACGAGACUUAUUGUGGUCGUAUUUCCCAUCGCCUUAUCGUAGCCCAAGCGCAGUGGAGGACACCGGGCGCUUCCCUUGUUGUGGUGCACUUAUAGUGUGGUGAGUGAGACUGUGUAAUAAAUCUUUUCACGUUGGAGUGGUGCUGUGUAUUUGCUGUGGGUUGCUGUGUGUCUUGUAGACGAAGCCCCGCAUCAUCCAUUUUCUUCCACUGGGCAGAGGACGGGGAGGCCAACGACCUCAGAAACUACUGUUACUAUUUGUAGUGUGCUGUUUGGAGUACGAAGGGACGCAGACUAAGAGCUGUCCGUGACCGUGAGUAAACCAUUGGAAACAUUCGUGGUGUGAACUUACCUGUGUCUGUUUUGUCGCAGAGUCAGAGGCGAAAGGGUCCGCCGCCCCGUGGUCUCUACGAAAAGGGCGCCCCCGUCUAGGAAUCGAUCGGCCUAUGGGCAUUGGAGAUAGGGCAGCGCUCGACCCGGUGAGGUGGUGUGUGACCUUCGCCCCUCUGCUGACCUACGGAGGAGAACGAUACCUACCCAGAAAGCUGUAAACAGCAGAGCCGGUGAGAAUUACUCGAAGUCUCAGCAACAGUGCCUUUGUGUUCUAGCGGCCACCUGUGGAGAGAGAGCAGAACGAGAGUGAAUAAUAGAAGAACAAACUGUGAACGUGAUACCUACCCAGAAAGCUGUAAACAGCAGAGCCGGUGAGAAAUACUCGAAGUCUCAGUAACAGUGUCUUUGUGUCCUAGCGGCCACCUGUGGAGAGAGAGCAGAACGAGAGUGAAUAAUCGAAGAACAAACUGUGAACGUGAUACCUACCCAGAGAGCUGUAAACAUCAGAGGAGGCGAGAAAUACUCGGAGUCUCAGUAACAGUGUCUUUGUGUCCUAGUGGCCUCCUGUGGAGAGAACGGAAAACGAGAAGGAACAUGAGGAGAAUGGACUGUGUGAAGAUACAGUGGUGGUGGAGGAGGGCCUAGAGUGGCCAUUGUUUUAAGUCCCCGUUUCCCCUUCCCUAUUUAAUAUUUUUAAGUAAUUUAAUAAAGGAUAUUUUAAUUUUAUGCUUACCUUGUGUGUCUGGUCAUUGGGGUGGCUUUGGGAAUCUCCUCGAGGUGGAGAAAGGGGCGUGACCUUAUUUACAUCUGGGUCCACCCCUACCUGUGACAGAUUUGGCGUAGUCGGCAGUCCACCUCGGGUUGAGACCAAGGUCCCCCAAUGGCCUACCACGUUUUUUAAAGAAAAGCUCCCAUCAACACCCUAUCAGUCCCUAAACAACGCGUUCUCGGGACGAGAACGGAUUGGCGGGGGAGGAUGUCACAAGGUGACGAUCUCUUGGGCGGAACCAAAAGUCGGGAAACUUUGGUUCCGCCCGGAUGUUUCCGCCCAGACCGAAGAACGGAAACACCGGACAUCCGGCAGAUUCGCGGAGGCUGUAAUCAGCCGAUUGGGCACAGCUGUGCCUAGUUGAAGAGAUCGCUGGGCAAUUGGAUGACUGAAGUACAGAGAGGAGUAUAUAAAGCACAGUUAGAUCACAGUUCGGGAGUUCGGGCACGAGAGGGGGAUUGACACGGGGAGAGCUCCUCUGCUUAGGGCAGGAGAGGUAACUACGUACCUUUUGAAGAGCCCGCAGGCUCUGUUGAUCCGGGCUGCGCUUGAAGCGCGCGGAAAGAAGACAGGAGCUGCCUGGGGUGAAAGAAAGGCGAUACUCUUUAUUGUGGACCUGCUGGAGUGAACAGGAAAGCCCUAUGGGUAAGAAGGAACUUUGUUCUAACCAAUACUGAAGGAGUAAAGCAGGAAGAGAUAUUGACCGUCUGGUACAACGUAAAUAAAGGCUAUCCGCCGUGAGUAUACCCUUUCUGUGUGGAGUAACUGGCAAAAAUUAACUUGUGUAGCCAUUGGAAACCUCCAGGAAAAGGAGGGCGGCCCUACCCCUACAAGAGUGUGGUGGGCGAGCCGUUAGAAGUACACAUUCAAACAGCCGCCGCAACGAGACUUAUUGUGGUCGUAUUUCCCAUCGCCUUAUCGUAGCCCAAGCGCAGUGGAGGACACCGGGCGCUUCCCUUGUUGUGGUGCACUUAUAGUGUGGUGAGUGAGACUGUGUAAUAAAUCUUUUCACGUUGGAGUGGUGCUGUGUAUUUGCUGUGGGUUGCUGUGUGUCUUGUAGACGAAGCCCCGCAUCAUCCAUUUUCUUCCACUGGGCAGAGGACGGGGAGGCCAACGACCUCAGAAACUACUGUUACUAUUUGUAGUGUGCUGUUUGGAGUACGAAGGGACGCAGACUAAGAGCUGUCCGUGACCGUGAGUAAACCAUUGGAAACAUUCGUGGUGUGAACUUACCUGUGUCUGUUUUGUCGCAGAGUCAGAGGCGAAAGGGUCCGCCGCCCCGUGGUCUCUACGAAAAGGGCGCCCCCGUCUAGGAAUCGAUCGGCCUAUGGGCAUUGGAGAUAGGGCAGCGCUCGACCCGGUGAGGUGGUGUGUGACCUUCGCCCCUCUGCUGACCUACGGAGGAGAACGAUACCUACCCAGAAAGCUGUAAACAGCAGAGCCGGUGAGAAUUACUCGAAGUCUCAGCAACAGUGCCUUUGUGUUCUAGCGGCCACCUGUGGAGAGAGAGCAGAACGAGAGUGAAUAAUAGAAGAACAAACUGUGAACGUGAUACCUACCCAGAAAGCUGUAAACAGCAGAGCCGGUGAGAAAUACUCGAAGUCUCAGUAACAGUGUCUUUGUGUCCUAGCGGCCACCUGUGGAGAGAGAGCAGAACGAGAGUGAAUAAUCGAAGAACAAACUGUGAACGUGAUACCUACCCAGAGAGCUGUAAACAUCAGAGGAGGCGAGAAAUACUCGGAGUCUCAGUAACAGUGUCUUUGUGUCCUAGUGGCCUCCUGUGGAGAGAACGGAAAACGAGAAGGAACAUGAGGAGAAUGGACUGUGUGAAGAUACAGUGGUGGUGGAGGAGGGCCUAGAGUGGCCAUUGUUUUAAGUCCCCGUUUCCCCUUCCCUAUUUAAUAUUUUUAAGUAAUUUAAUAAAGGAUAUUUUAAUUUUA